Molecule: ribosomal RNA, 250 nt
Filed under: uncultured bacterium
Lineage: Bacteria
Description: partial 16S ribosomal RNA
Rfam family: Bacterial small subunit ribosomal RNA
Source: RNAcentral
UACAGAGGUCCCAAGCGUUGUUCGGAUUCACUGGGCGUAAAGGGUGCGUAGGCGGUUGGAUAAGUCUGACGUGAAAUGCCGGAGCUUAACUCCGGAACUGCGUCGGAGACUAUUCGGCUGGAGGAUUGGAGGGGGGGCUGGAAUUCUCGGUGUAGCAGUGAAAUGCGUAGAUAUCGAGAGGAACACCCGUGGCGAAGGCAAGCCCCUAGACAAUUCCUGACGCUGAGGCACGAAAGCUAGGGGAGCAAAC